CUUCUCCCAAAUAUAAUAUUCACUUGCCAUGUCUAUACUUUGACACGAUUUCAAAAAGCACCCAGUUAAAUCAUUCAGAUCAGUCGAUGGGCAAAAACUAUGAAGUUUUCCUGACUCUAUGGUAGAGCUAAGCAUGCAUUUCCUUUAAUGACAGAAAGAACAUGUUCAUCUGAUAAGAAACAAAAAACAAACAAACAAAAAAAGGUCGAUAUAAAUUCUCCACUGUGAUAUACAACACAAAUACCUUUCUUAUAACUUUCUUAUCUUCCUUGGUCGGGCACAUGUCUUGGGACAAAGGCUACCUUGAAAGCUAAGCACGGCUGAAUGGUGAGUCGAUUGCGAAUUAUCAGUGAAUGGUUUGGAUAUGAUCGACUAAGACUCCACUGGGAAGAGUGCUGUUUAGACGAAAGAAAACCGAUGAGGUCCGUGGUUCCCUGAAUAAGAAUGGCAUGAAGUAGAGCCACAGGUGAUGUGAGGCAGACUCAUCAUAUGGUUUGUCUUCACCCCAGUGCCUAUUCUCUGAAUAUAAAGUUCUUCAGAACCCAGGAAUCACGUGGUGACUAUGACCAAAGCUCAUUUCCCAACAAGUGGCCACAGAGGACAAGGUGUGGAGGACACUGGAAGGAGCCCAUGACUGACGGGCGUGUUGCCUGAUGCUACAGGAGAUCCAUUGAUCGCAUCUCAAAGCAGUUUCUAGAGAAGCAGGAAGAAUUUAAAAUGCUCUGGAGAAAUUAUUUUCACCAUUUGUGCUUUUAAAGAAUAGGACGUAUUAAUUUUUCAUAAAUUCUUGUUAACCAUGGCAAUACACAAUGCCAUUAUUUCUUAAACUCUGGUUCAGGUUAUUUACAAAAUAGGUCAGGUCACCCCUUUCCAGCCCAGAGCCAGAAUUAAAAUAAAACAAUCCUCACUCCAGCUUCUGUUCUCCCCCGCACACAUUCCUGCCGUCUGGAAGGACCCGAAGCAAACGUUCCUGAUAUAUUUGGAAGGGAACAAAAGUUAGUACGGAACAGCAUUUGACCUCUGUCUUGUAUUAAUGUGAAUCUUAGGCUGCCCUGCACGCACUUCCGAAAGCGACAUAUCUCCCUGCAGGAUCAGUGACAGGGAGACAGCUGGCCGGCCUCAGAACGAGCUCCGCCCCAUAAGGACUGCACGGCUGUCCUGUUAGAAAAGCAACGGUGAGGGGCUCCUCCCCAGCUGGUGCCUUUGUGGGGACUUUCUCAUCAAGAGUCAUUACACCGCCAGCGUGGUGGAGUGACAUAUCCAUGGGGAUUUGGUAACAACGAGAUUCUGUACUGUAGGCUCAUGAAUUCAGGAAUUCAUGAAUAUUGAAGAAAUGCACACGGCUCACCACAAGAAAAUAUCGAUUAAACUUCUUUACCCAAGUGUCAGCAUACUAGGAGUUAAUAAAGUGAACUAAAUUGAUAGGUAACAUUGAUCUCUGACACAGGCAGUAGAAUUAAACCCUGGGUGGGUAAAUAAAUCAAAGCUAGUAGAAGCACCUG
RNAcentral lists this long non-coding RNA (1502 nucleotides) under Homo sapiens (human). RNAcentral's name for it is "HSALNT0024785". The record is from RNAcentral. Lineage: Eukaryota; Metazoa; Chordata; Mammalia; Primates; Hominidae.